This 324-nucleotide ribosomal RNA is filed under the name Pseudogymnoascus destructans. RNAcentral's name for it is "eukaryotic LSU rRNA". The stretch from base 1 to 115 matches the Rfam family "5.8S ribosomal RNA", at positions 40 to 154 of the family's 154-position model. Lineage: Eukaryota; Fungi; Ascomycota; Leotiomycetes; Thelebolales; Thelebolaceae. The record is from RNAcentral.
AGAACGCAGCGAAAUGCGAUAAGUAAUGUGAAUUGCAGAAUUCAGUGAAUCAUCGAAUCUUUGAACGCACAUUGCGCCCCCUGGUAUUCCGGGGGGCAUGCCUGUCCGAGCGUCAUUACAACCCUCAAGCUCAGCUUGGUAUUGGGCCCCGCCGACCCGGCGGGCCCUAAAGUCAGUGGCGGUGCCGUCCGGCUCCGAGCGUAGUAAUUCUUCUCGCUCCGGAGGUCCGGUCGUGUGCUUGCCAGCAACCCCCAAUUUUUUCAGGUUGACCUCGGAUCAGGUAGGGAUACCCGCUGAACUUAAGCAUAUCAAUAAGCGGAGGAA